AGAGCUUGCUCAGAUAUGACGAUGGACAUUGCAAAGAGUGGCGAACGGGUGAGUAACACGUGGGAAACCUACCUCUUAGCAGGGGAUAACAUUUGGAAACAGAUGCUAAUACCGUAUAACAAUGACAACCGCAUGGUUGUUAUUUAAAAGAUGGUUCUGCUAUCACUAAGAGAUGGUCCCGCGGUGCAUUAGCUAGUUGGUAAGGUAAUGGCUUACCAAGGCGAUGAUGCAUAGCCGAGUUGAGAGACUGAUCGGCCACAAUGGGACUGAGACACGGCCCAUACUCCUACGGGAGGCAGCAGUAGGGAAUCUUCCACAAUGGGCGAAAGCCUGAUGGAGCAACGCCGCGUGUGUGAUGAAGGGUUUCGGCUCGUAAAACACUGUUGUAAGAGAAGAAUGACAUUGAGAGUAACUGUUCAAUGUGUGACGGUAUCUUACCAGAAAGGAACGGCUAAAUACGUGCCAGCAGCCGCGGUAAUACGUAUGUUCCAAGCGUUAUCCGGAUUUAUUGGGCGUAAAGCGAGCGCAGACGGUUAUUUAAGUCUGAAGUGAAAGCCCUCAGCUCAACUGAGGAAUUGCUUUGGAAACUGGAUGACUUGAGUGCAGUAGAGGAAAGUGGAACUCCAUGUGUAGCGGUGAAAUGCGUAGAUAUAUGGAAGAACACCAGUGGCGAAGGCGGCUUUCUGGACUGUAACUGACGUUGAGGCUCGAAAGUGUGGGUAGCAAACAGGAUUAGAUACCCUGGUAGUCCACACCGUAAACGAUGAGUGCUAGGUGUUUGAGGGUUUCCGCCCUUAAGUGCCGCAGCUAACGCAUUAAGCACUCCGCCUGGGGAGUACGACCGCAAGGUUGAAACUCAUAGGAAUUGACGGGGACCCGCACAAGCGGUGGAGCAUGUGGUUUAAUUCGAAGCAACG
Molecule: ribosomal RNA, 917 nt
Filed under: Weissella confusa
Lineage: Bacteria; Bacillati; Bacillota; Bacilli; Lactobacillales; Lactobacillaceae
Description: bacterial SSU rRNA
Rfam family: Bacterial small subunit ribosomal RNA
Source: RNAcentral